AUCCAGCUGACGAGUUCAAAUAUCGGACAAAACGCACGUCUUGGAU
Molecule: non-coding RNA, 46 nt
Organism: Schistosoma haematobium
Lineage: Eukaryota; Metazoa; Platyhelminthes; Trematoda; Strigeidida; Schistosomatidae
Source: Rfam